This 1045-nucleotide long non-coding RNA is filed under the name Homo sapiens (human). Its description in RNAcentral is "CSMD2 antisense RNA 1". The record is from RNAcentral. Lineage: Eukaryota; Metazoa; Chordata; Mammalia; Primates; Hominidae.
ACUUGUCACACUUCCAUCAAACAGUACCUGCCCCUUAGGUGUGCUAGGGAAUAAAUGAAAUGCCUGGGACAUCAUCGUUAAGUGGCAUCUGAUGCAUAAGCAGUGCCCUAGGAAUGGGGUUGCCUGCCUUGGUCUCUAAAGGAUGGGUUCAAAAGGCAAGAGCAGCACACAAGAAGAUAGCUUCAAGCAGGAGAUAAAGCUUGGCCCAGGGCCCAAAGGGGAUACGACCCUUCAGGUUGGCCCUGACCUCUGGGUUGGAUUACCAGUGACACAAUGAACAUUUCAUUAUGAGGCCAUCCCUUGAGCAAACUGACAUGCUGAAAGCUGCCCUAUGGAGAGGCUCAUGUGGCAAGGAACAGAGGGUGGCUUCUGGCCAACACCCAGUGAGGAACUCAGGCCCUCAGUCAAACAGCCUGCAAGGAACUGAACCCUGCCAAUAACCAUAUCAUCACGUAUAAUUCUAGAGGCAGUGUCAGCCCCCGGCCAAUGACCACCAUGGACCUCCCUGUAGUUGAACAAAGUUGGGUUUGCUGACUGGUGGCAGUGAGGGAGAAUGCACACCACAGGGAGCUGUGCAGUGUCUCAGUAAGAAGCCAGGAGCCAUCCCGUGAGGCCGUUACUGCAAACAAGCUGAAAAUCCUGCUUUGUUUCUUUUGGACACAACAUGCUUUCCUUCAGCUUCAGUAGACGAUGAGGCCAGCACCACAUGGGCUAGAUGUACAUGAGAUGUGAGCAACCACACUUCCCCUCUGACGGGGACAGACAGCAUCACAGGACAUGAAGUUCUAAGAGGUUCAGUGACUUGUCUAAGAUUAAACAGCUAUGAAUGGAGAACUGGAGGCAAAUGCCUCAUCAUCUCUCACCUGGGCAACUGCAACAAUGAGCAGUUUGUGUCUGUGCCUGCAUCCAUCCUUCCAUCCUGUACUCCAGCAGCAGCCAGGGUGGUCUUUCAAAAAUGCAAAGCUGAUAAUGUUACUCCCCUGCUGUAAACCUUCCAGCGGUUUCCUAUUGCCUUCAGAAUAAAAUACGAAUCAUCUGGCCUCCA